Long non-coding RNA from Myxocyprinus asiaticus (Chinese sucker), 659 nucleotides. RefSeq lists it as uncharacterized. The transcript is spliced from 3 exons. The record is from RefSeq and is a predicted model, not a curated record. NCBI's taxonomy places the organism in Eukaryota, Metazoa, Chordata, Actinopteri, Cypriniformes, Catostomidae.
UAUAAAUUCUCCUCCCUGCCCAAUAGGUGGCGAUGUGCAGGAAGAAUGUGAAUUGCCAAAAACAAAAGAAGAAUGCAAAAAUGAAAGUGAAAGUGGGGAUUUACCAUAAAAAGGACUUAAAUAUUGAUCUGUUUCUCCCCCACAUCUAUCAUAUAGCUUCUGAAGACCGACUUAAUCACUGGAAUCAUAUGGUUUCUUCUGUGCUGCCUUUAUAUGCAUUUUGGAUAUUUGGAUAUUCUUCUAAAACUCUUCGACUGUGUUCAGCAGAAGAAAGAAAGUCAUACGCAUCUGGGAUGGCAUGAGGAAAUGAAGAUAAGAGGUAGUGUGCUGUAACUCCAGUUUCUAUUCCCCUGACCGAACAGUGGUGAGGAAUAUUCACAGGAGAGAGAGCAGUAGGGAUGGAGGCGUGUCGUGGAACUGUAAAGAACUGUGGAAUGGAAAGCAGCAGGAGCUUUGAGCACGGGGAGAGCGGCAUAAAUAGAGUGACACAACACUCAGUCAAGAGAGAGACUGGAUACGACAGAGCCGAGCCAGAGCAAGGAUUUUCUAAUAGUGAGAGUUUAUUUGUGGAAGCAGUGUGUGUUAGUGUUUAGUUAGUGCAUAAAGGUAAACUGUAAAGUGGUGUCGAGGAAGAUGGGGAAAUAAAGCCUCACCUGAAG